AUGGUUUUUUUUUUUUUUAAGGAUUUUAUUUAUUUAUUCAUGAGACACACAGAGAGAGGCAGAGACCCAGGCAGAGGGAGAAGCAGGCUUCCUGCAGGGAGCCCGACCUGGGACUCGAUCUGGGACCCGGGGUCACGCCCUGGGCCGGAGGCAGCCGCUCCUCCGCUGAGCCCCCCGGGCGCCCCUGUAAUGGUUUUAUUGCCAAGGGCCGGGAGCCGACCACAGGCCCAUGAGGAGGUGACCGUGGGCCGCGCACGUGGGACAGUGGCCGGUGAUCAGGCCGGAGGCAGCGGCCGGGGACUCAGGGAAGCCACAGAGCUGGGCUCGAAAGCCAAAAAGGUCGGUGUGAAAGGCCACAUCCUGUCCCUUCCAUGUCGACGGGCUUCUAGAAAAGGCGACCGAGAGAGCGACAACAAGAGAGCUUUUCCAGCAGGACAGUGAGCCAUCACGUGCACGACGCUUCCCAGGCGACUCAGUAGGUCAGGGGACCGCAGGAAGGACAAGGAGACAAGCCACGGCAGGAGGACCCGGGCAGGAGGACCCCGGCAGGGGGACUGGGUCUGUGACAGGGGCCUGGAGCUGCAGCGGGACGGAGGCGGUUUCCCCGGGGCGCUCGUCACACCCUGGCCCCCGGCAGGUGCGCUGGGACUGGGUGGCGGAGUCGCUGGGUGCUGGCUGCUGGGUGCUGGGUGCUGCGAGCCGGGUUGCCUGCCGUGGGGUGGGAGUUGGCCGAGAAGCAGGGGGCUGGGGCUGGAGGUGGGAAGGCCGUGGGUGCUCUCGGUUGCUUUACAAGAAGCACAGGCGGUCGCAGGUAGGAAGGUGCGUGCACCUGUGUGCACGUGAGCACAUGCACGCGUCACUCCCCGCUCUGUCACCAGAAGGGGCUGCAAGCCAGGGCACCCCAGGGGCACUGAGCACGCCCAGCCGCCCCAGUGUGGCCUCUGAUUCCAUCCUCCAAGGAAAGGAGAAGCUGGAGGCCAGCCGACCCUAGGACCGAGGCGGGGGUGUCCAGGGAGCCUGCUGCGUCCCGCCGGGGCCAGAGGGGGGACACGCGGGCGACGAUCCACACCGCGGGGCCUUUGGAGUGAAGCAGUAAGUGGAUUACAGCCCACAGCAUCCCGGAUACUGAAAUAUCCACUGGUGGGGACACACGACAAAUGAGGGGAUGGAGGACACACGAGCUCCCACGCAGACCUGGGAAUCAUUUAUGGAGAGGCUCCCCGCUCGAGAAGGAGAGGCGUAGGCGGAGCAGGACCCCUGGGCCCACGCGGUGACGUCCCCCCAAAGAGAAUGGUCACACGCCCUGAGGACAAUGAACACACCCCAGCCAGGGCUCACGGCCCGUCCUCGGUGACAAAUCACACUGACAGCAGGGACCCCUGAGUGACGUGAUGAGAAGCCUUCAGCUCCGUGGUCUUCCUCCCCAAACCCAUCGCCCAACGUGAGACAUGUCCCGAUGGAGGGAGGGUCCCAGCACCCCCAGAACUGCUGGGCCACCUGAAACCAAGGACAGGAGAGCCAGCACAGCCCAGAGGCGUCGGGGAAAUGUGACGUUCAGGGUGGAGAGAGGGUGUGACGGGAACCAAGGAAACCUGAACAGAGUGUAGACUUUGAUUAACCACAGGGAGCCUGUGCUGGUCCCAGAUUCGGAUUCGUGGGGAGGGCGGGAGACGUGGGGCGGGGCGGAUGGGGACUCGGGACAGCCGUGACCCCCGAGUUCUGGGAAUCCGAAACUGUCCUAAGAUUGAAAGUUGAUUAAAAAGAAAAUGAAGAAAAAUUUUAAAAUUAAAAAAAAAAGAAAAUGAAGGAUGGAAGGGAGGGAGGUAGGGAGGGGAGGAAGAGAAAGAAGCAGCAGACAAUGGGCAUCGCUGGGGGUGGGGUGGGGGGGGCGUCGAACACCCCGCAUGAACGUGUCUUUUCCUCUUCAAGGCACAGGAGAGAAACAGACGGCCUACCCCGGGCUCACAAGCUCUCCUCAGCGAUACACGGUGAUACACGGCGAUCACUUCUCCUUUAUACUUCCCAAGUGCUUGGGGCGCGCGGGGGGCUCAGCGGUUGAGCCCCUGCCUUGGCCCAGGGCGUGACCCCAGGGUCCCGGGAUCGGAUCCCACAUCAGGCCCCCCGCAUGGAGCCUGCUUCUCCCUCUACCUGUGUCUCUGCCUCUCUCUGUGUCUCUCAUGAAUAAAUAAAUUAAAUCUUAAAAAAAUAUAUUUUCCAAGUGCUUUACCUUUACACACAGACAUGAUGCAUUAUUUCUUUUUUAAAGAUUUUAUUUUUUUAAAGAUUUUAUCUAUUCAUGAGACACACAGAGAGAGGCAGAGACACAGGCAGAGGGAGAAGCCGGCUCCAUGCAAGAGUCCGACCUGGGACUCGAUUCCGGAACCCCGGGGUCACGCCCUGGGCUGAGGGCAGAAGCUCCACCACGGAGCCCCCCCCCCGCCCCCCAAUGUGU
This 2452-nucleotide long non-coding RNA is filed under the name Canis lupus familiaris (dog). RNAcentral describes it as "lncRNA (ENSCAFG00040000742.1)". Lineage: Eukaryota; Metazoa; Chordata; Mammalia; Carnivora; Canidae. The record is from RNAcentral.